UCCUACGGGAGGCAGCAGUAGGGAAUAUUGGACAAUGGGCGAAAGCCUGAUCCAGCCAUGCCGCGUGUGUGAAGAAGGUCUUCGGAUUGUAAAGCACUUUAAGUUGGGAGGAAGGGUUGUAGAUUAAUACUCUGCAAUUUUGACGUUACCGACAGAAUAAGCACCGGCUAACUUCGUGCCAGCAGCCGCGGUA
This 193-nucleotide ribosomal RNA is filed under the name uncultured Pseudomonadota bacterium. RNAcentral's name for it is "uncultured proteobacterium partial 16S ribosomal RNA". It matches the Rfam family "Bacterial small subunit ribosomal RNA", at positions 337 to 522 of the family's 1533-position model. Lineage: Bacteria; Pseudomonadati; Pseudomonadota. The record is from RNAcentral.